CCUCCUAUUAUACUUAACUUUGAAAGUUUUGUUUGGAAUUUUCCUAGGGGCU
RNAcentral lists this transfer RNA (52 nucleotides) under Rhizoglyphus robini. Its description in RNAcentral is "tRNA-Ser". RNAcentral also lists the same sequence under 1 other name. The record is from RNAcentral. Lineage: Eukaryota; Metazoa; Arthropoda; Arachnida; Sarcoptiformes; Acaridae.